Molecule: ribosomal RNA, 292 nt
Filed under: uncultured bacterium
Lineage: Bacteria
Description: partial 16S ribosomal RNA
Rfam family: Bacterial small subunit ribosomal RNA
Source: RNAcentral
GUGCCAGCCGCCGCGGUAAUACGUAGGGCGCAAGCGUUGUCCGGAUUUAUUGGGCGUAAAGAGUUCGUAGGCGGUCUGUCGCGUCGGAAGUGAAAACCCGGAGCUCAACUCCGGGCCUGCUUUCGAUACGGGCAGACUUGAGUGUUGCAGGGGAGACUGGAAUUCCUGGUGUAGCGGUGGAAUGCGCAGAUAUCAGGAGGAACACCGGUGGCGAAGGCGGGUCUCUGGGCAACAACUGACGCUGAGGAACGAAAGCGUGGGGAGCGAACAGGAUUAGAUACCCCCGUAGUCC